AAGAGAAGCAGAGGAAAGUUUGGAGGAGUGCUGCGGUGGGCUAAGAAGUCCAAGACCCUAGUUUUCCUGUACCCGUGCCAGUGGAAAUCCUCAAGGCAGGUGUUCCAUAUUUGGGGUCCUGAAUUAAGAAGGGCCUGGAUGGAAACCAAGGAUACCUAAGCCAGCUACAGCGGCCUUGAAGAACCAUAUUGGGAGAGAAUUAUCCUCGGGCACCAGAAAGAUUGAUGUCCCCCUCUACUGAAAGAAUGGAAGGAGAAUCUGUCUUAUCAGAUAUGACUACCUGUACAAGAGGAUGGCUUUAGCAUAAAGCCUAAUAUUGACAGAUUGAACAGAAGAUAGAAAGCUUUUUUUGAUCUUAUGGAACCAGAGGGACCAAACUAGUGAGUUGCUUAGCACCUCUUCAAUGGUACUAUGUCACAUAAUCAUUUGUACUAUCAUAGCAUUUAAAGGCCUAGGACACCAUUGUGCUAGGUGUUGUAUAAACAAGGAUAGACACAUUUUCUACCAAAACAUCUUACUAGUUAAUUUGUAACAAGACCCAACAUUUGAGUGUGACAAACAAAAUGGGGAGGAGUUAAGAGCAAGGAGGAUGGCAAUGACAAUGUAAUCUUGAAGUUAUGUGGUCAGCUAUCUGCAUACCUCCAUGGUUCCAAAAUAAUAUAGAUAUUUCCAACUUCUGAUCCAGCUAGUCUUCACUGUUUUGCUAACAUCUUGCAGGGAUUCAAAGAAGGUAGUGGUUUCAGGCCCUGAUUCACCUAUCUAACC
Long non-coding RNA from Mauremys mutica (yellowpond turtle), 765 nucleotides. RefSeq lists it as uncharacterized. The record is from RefSeq and is a predicted model, not a curated record. The transcript has 3 exons. Lineage: Eukaryota; Metazoa; Chordata; Testudines; Geoemydidae.